This is a long non-coding RNA of Drosophila ananassae, 484 nucleotides long. RefSeq lists it as uncharacterized. The record is from RefSeq and is a predicted model, not a curated record. NCBI's taxonomy places the organism in Eukaryota, Metazoa, Arthropoda, Insecta, Diptera, Drosophilidae. The transcript is spliced from 2 exons.
GGACACGUACUGCACGGACCGUUUGCGGAUAUUUUGACAGACAAUCUUGAUUAUAUUUUGUUGCACUCUGUUCGCCAGUUUAUAUUUAUUUUAUUUACGUUUUCGAUGCCUGAAUGCAUAAAGAGUGGCUCCAUUGAUUAAUGAAAAUUCCUUGAGGAAUAUCAAACAAGAAGACCCUUUUCCACCAUCAAAAAUUGAGGUUUGUUUCGGACUUUGUAACAGUUGUGAUUGGAUGUUCAUUUCAGAAAACAUACACAUCUUGAAGAAAGUAGAGUCGUUGGGGUAUUGACCAACAAAAGAAUCUGACAAAAGGUUUCUACAUUUUGCUAUUGUCCAGAGAACCCUUUUCAACCGAUGAAUGGCUCCUAAUUUAUCAUAUUUUUAUGUCCUUUUUACUUAUCUAUUCUGGGAAUGUUAAAAAUUAGGGUUUCGUCCAGAGGGCUUUGUCUGUCUCAACCUUAAAAUUAAAAAAUCGGCUCACAGU